This 403-nucleotide ribosomal RNA is filed under the name uncultured bacterium. Its description in RNAcentral is "bacterial SSU rRNA". It matches the Rfam family "Bacterial small subunit ribosomal RNA", at positions 355 to 775 of the family's 1533-position model. The record is from RNAcentral.
UGGGGAAUAUUGGACAAUGGGGGAAACCCUGAUCCAGCAAUGCCGCGUGAGUGAAGAAGGCCUUCGGGUUGUAAAGCUCUUUUGUCAGGGACGAUAAUGACGGUACCUGACGAAUAAGCACCGGCUAACUUCGUGCCAGCAGCCGCGGUAAUACGAAGGGUGCUAGCGUUGUUCGGAAUGACUGGGCGUAAAGGGAGCGUAGGCGGCUCUGUACGUUUGAUGUGAAAGUCCUGGGCUCAACCUGGGGACGGCAUUGAAUACGGCAGAGCUUGAGGCAUAGAGGGGAAGAUGGAAUUGCGUGUGUAGAGGUGAAAUUCGUAGAUAUACGCAAGAACACCCGUGGCGAAGGCGAUCUUCUGGCUAUGACCUGACGCUAAGGCUCGAAAGCGUGGGGAGCAAACAG